This 100-nucleotide small RNA is filed under the name Pongo abelii (Sumatran orangutan). Its description in RNAcentral is "processed transcript". Lineage: Eukaryota; Metazoa; Chordata; Mammalia; Primates; Hominidae. The record is from RNAcentral.
UUCUUACUAGUCCUAAAGGCCCAGGCUCUGUGGCCCUGUGUUCUGCAGGUAUUGGGAGAUCCACAGCUAAGACACCGGGACCUCCUGGAAGCCAAAAAUG